RNAcentral lists this ribosomal RNA (451 nucleotides) under uncultured bacterium. RNAcentral's name for it is "partial 16S ribosomal RNA". It matches the Rfam family "Bacterial small subunit ribosomal RNA", at positions 30 to 507 of the family's 1533-position model. The record is from RNAcentral.
AGCGAACGCUGGCGGCAUGCCUAACACAUGCAAGUCGCACGGGGGGGCUUCGGCCUCCCAGUGGCGGACGGGGGAGGAACGCGUAGGGACCUGUCGAGGGGUGGGGGAUAACCGCGGGAAACUGCGGCUAAUACCGCAUGACGCCGCGUCGGGACAGCCGGGGCCAAAGGCGAAAGCCGCGCGCCGAGGGGCCUGCGUCCGAUGAGCUGGGUGGCGGGGGAGCGGCCACUCAAGGCGUGGAUCGGUAGCUGGUCAGAGAGGGUGAGCCGGCACACCGGGAGUGGGCAGCGGCGCGGACUCCUACGGGAGGCAGGAGUGGGGAAUAUUGGAAAACGGGCGCAAGCAUGAUCCCGCACGGCCGCGUGGGUGAAGAAGGUCGUAGGAUAGUACAGCCCUUUAGGCGGGGACGAUGGUGACGGUACCCGAAGAAGAAGCACCGGCUAACUUCGUG